CUCGCAAGAGUGAACUAGCUAACUGGAAUCUUUCUUUAUAAGGAGAUAAGGUAAGGGAAAAUAAUGAUACUACCUUACUAUUAGUGUUGUCCAAAUCUGGUGCCAGAAGACUCGGUAAGGCCAGAAACGCGAACGUUAGUCAUCCUAAACAGGCGUAAAGGGUGUGUAGGCAGCUUCAUAUGAUUUUUAAUUAUAUAGCUCAUUUUACCUAAAUUUUUUAGGUUUGAAUUCAAAAUAGGCUGAAGCUAGAAUCUAAAAGGGGUUAAAAUAUAUAAUACUUAGAGUAGAGUUCUAAUUCAUAUAUACUAAGUAGAAUACUAAAAGCGAAGGCAUUUUUCCACUAAAGAUUGACGCUGAUAUACGAAGGUGGGGAUAGGAAAUAGGCUUAGAGACCCAUGAACCCCUCACUGUAAACGAUGAAUGGUAGUGAUCAGUUUUUUUAAAUUGAUUUCGAGGCUAACGCGAUGACCAUUCCGCCUUGUGAGUACGAUUCCCAAAUUGAAAACCAAAAAAUUAGUCGGUCUCGGAGCACNNCGAAGUGAAGCAU
RNAcentral lists this ribosomal RNA (547 nucleotides) under Terana coerulea. Its description in RNAcentral is "SSU rRNA". It matches the Rfam family "Bacterial small subunit ribosomal RNA", at positions 398 to 940 of the family's 1533-position model. Lineage: Eukaryota; Fungi; Basidiomycota; Agaricomycetes; Polyporales; Phanerochaetaceae. The record is from RNAcentral.